AUUUAAUUUGGUUUCAAGCCCAAGGCUAAUGCACAUGAAAUUUUCACCAAAUAAAAAAUACCUCAUGCGUUUUGUUCCAAAAAGCUAAUACUCAUCAAUUUUGGCAAAGAGGCAUAACUCAGGAAACUAGAUGCCAAAGGUUUAAAAUAACAUAUUUUUGGUGUGUAAGGCUAACAUGUAUAUGUUUUUGUCCUAAGGUUAAUACCCACCAAUUUUGAGCCCAACGGGUGAAAUUCCUGUAUUUUUUGGGUGAGACUUAACUUUACCGUCUUUAGGUCAAAGGCUAAUAUUCACUGAAUUUUUGGUGGAAGAAGUUAAUGUGUUUUCAGACACAAGGUUAAUACCCAUGAAAUUUUGAGUAAAAAACAAUUUCAUGUGUUUUUUUUAUCAAACACAUUUACUCAUGAGUUUCCCCUAAAUAUAACGGAAUUGUGCAUCGAUGGCUAGCAUGCAUACGUUUUUUAAGCCCAACGGGUAAAAUUCAAUUCCUGUAUUUUUGGCCGGAGACUAAAUUUCAGCAUUUUUUUGUCAAAAGGUUAAUCACCUAAUUUUAGCAAGAAGAAUAAUGUCAAUGUGUUUUUGGGCCCAAGCCUAAUGCUCGUGUAAUUUUGAGCCGAAGAAAAAAAGUUUCAUUCGGUUUUUUUGAAGGAUAUAACUCACGAAAUUAUAUGCUAAAGGGAUAAAAAUAAUAAAACUGUGUUGAAGGCAUGCAUACGCAUUUGGCAUAAGGUUAAUACCCAUAAAUUUUUAGGUCAAAAGCUAAAAACCAUUGAAAUCUAAACAUCAGGGAACGAAAGAAAGAAUGAUACGGUAUAUACAACAUUUGCCCUUAUCAGCCACACGGCAUUGUUAUUUCAGACCAUCCUUGUUUUCAAAUAAAUGAACAAAUGCUCUAAAGGGGUAAAAGAAAGUAGCAAAGUAAUCACUUUACACCAAGUCAUUUCUUUCCUUUGGCAUCUCAAAUCAACUGGCAGUGAUCUAUCUGUACAACGGCAUCCGCAUACUUCUUUCAUGUAAAAAAAGAAAAGAAAAGAAAAGGGACGCCGCUCCUUUGUUUCCUCUCUAGACAUCAUAGAUAUUAAAUACAAAAUGACAUGAAAAACAAAACAUGGCCAUAUGAUUGAUUUACACGAUGGACGCACCUCAUCUUUUACCCUUUUGUUCAGGUAUCAGAGCUCUACCUCGUGAAGAUCCUCGCCCAGGCCAUUGUUGAAUUGAAGUGAUGAGUUACUACUGGAACGGCUGUGGGAUUGUUUCUGUCCAGGAAUCAACGGAGACUGCAUCAUGGUCCGUUGUCCAUCUGGUGAUCUCGAAACAGCAUUGCCGCUCAACUGCUCUGAAUAUGCUCCACUCCAUGAUGCUGCUCGUGACCUUGAGAAUGAGCUGCCAUUCCCACUGCCAGAUGGGGUCAUGAUGUUGUCCAUACUUGGAUACCGCUGAAUAUUUGAUUGAACUGGUAUUGAUUGUACUGAUGGUGGUGGCGAAGCCGAGGAUUCCCGCAGAGCUAUCGUGGAAGAUGGUUGAUCCUGAUGAACAUUGACUGUUGGGUCAGGGAUCUGCUCUGACGCAACAGUAGCUGGAGUUGGCACAAAGAAAGUGGCACCAGACAGUGGAUUCAUGGAUGGGGUGGCUGGUUUAUUAUAUGACGGUCCAGUGGCACUUGCACCACCCUUGUUAAAUGUGUCGACGUAUCUACAUGGGGGCAAGGAAAUGAUAUAAGCCACUUGGUAUAUAAAGCAAACAGCGGCAAUAACUAAACAAAUUACCUUGAUCUAACACCCAUCCGUCCACGUGCUGAGAAUUGGUUCUGGCUAGGUGGCAUUGGUGGCAUCCCUGAACUAGGCCCAGAAGGAUUCAAAGGCCUUGCUUCUGAAAAUCCAUUAGCAGUAUAACUUACACUGCCUGGGCCAUUCGAACUCUGAUCUGGAAUACCGUUCUGGAACAAGGCCUUUGUUGGAGGUGGGGGAAGGGGAGGCUCCUCAGCAGGUAUGUCAGCACCUUCUUCCACCCACCGCUUCAGCUUCUCGUCAUAGUAGAACUUGUUUUGUUCCCCCAGCUUCGCCUUUAGGGCACAAAAGAAUUAGUUGUGUUACACAAAUCAAAAACUACUGUGACAUGCAGUUCGAAACCGGGAUCGGAUGAAUUUAAUGUUUUAGCAAGCACCUGAUGAUGAGAUCUUGAAACAAGUCCCAUUGUCUUCUGCAGCAACCAUCCAAAACGUGAACUACCUGAACCUGAUGUGCUUUGUGCAUUAUCUAAUCCUGCACCCUGUGAGAGUUCCAAUUUCAGAAAAGAGAAAUGAAACACAUCAAGAAAACAUUCCAGUCUAAGAAGCACCUGGUUGGGGGUUCUGCCAAAGUCUGGUUCAGAGACACUUCUGUUAUGUGUGACUUUUCUGUCAGGGCCAGUAUUUCCUGACAUUUCACUCAUAGAUUGCUCUGAAACAGAAGACAUCAAAGAAGACAUAGCCAUCACUGGCUGAUUAUUCACAAAAUUUGUAGCUGCAGGAGCCGAAUAGGAAUCUCUUUCGGUUAAGGAGCCCUGUGGCACUGGUGACAACGCUGAAGGUUGUGUACCCAUCAUGCGGGACAAAGAUUUAUCAAGUGAUGUGAAAAGUUUUCCAACAAGCUUUGCAGGGGCUAGAUUUGUACCAUAACCACCCUGAAUAACAAUGAGUUGAUCAUCAGUCAACAUGGAAGAAACAGUCUGCUCUAGUAAAUACGAGAAUCAGCAAGCAACAGCUACAAUAAAUUCAAACCUGCUGGUAGGUGCGUAUCCGCUCCUCUAGGGAUGAAAACAACUGCUUCCAUGCCUCUAAUUCAGGUGCACGGCCAGAUGCUUUCAGCACCUUCAAGCAUGCUUGACAAUACCUAAAGAGAGUAGUUUAAAGUCAAUGUGUGUAACUAAGAAACCAGGGGAAAAACUGGAAUAGUAACUCAGCAAAUUACCUUAAUGAAUCAGAAACCUUCCCAACCUCCACAAGCAUGUAUGCAUAUAUCAGCUUAUAUGGUUGAAAUGGCAAGAGGAUGUACUGAGAAUUACCAAGAACUUUUGCAUAUUCAUACACCUCUGUUCGCUGUUUGUUACAUUGUGAGGACAUUUGUUUAGAAACAGCAAAUGACAAAAGCAAAAAAAAAAACAGUAAUAAUAUGAAUUAAGGCCGAGGACAAUCAUCAUCUAAUCAUGCCAUUUUCUGAGUAAGAAGUGGUCCAAAUAGAGGGACUGUAAAGCUUUUGACUAAAGUAAGUCAUGCAAAAAAUAACACUAGAAUUUGACACAUCUAAAAACAUAUGUGAUACGCAUGCUCCUCUGCAAAAAUGCGAAACCAUCUACAUUAGAUACAUAAUGAUUCAUAUCUGAGAUAUUGUUGGAGCUUAUAGCAUAAUGCGUGUCCCAUAAUAAUAUCCUACCAUUCAUCUGACUGAUGUAUGUCCAAUGCAACAUGUAGCUAAAGAUUAUCAUCACAGAAAGCACAAACAUCGAAUAGAUGGCACAGGUAUAAAAGACCUGGAUAGCUUCAGGGCUGGUAAAUGUACGAGGACAUCUCAAAUGGUCUGCACCAAUUAGACACAUUCUUGAACUUUCUGAAUACGACUCGAUAUUUAGUUCCGCAGCUAAAUAGCAUGAAUGAGCAGCUGCCACCUGCAUAAAAAUAUGUAAGGUAUUUGACAAAACCAUGUCAAUAAAUCAUAUACUCAACUAGCCAGAUUCAAACCUCAUUUUUCUCUUUCCAGAGGCAAUCUCCAAGGUGCGUAAUUACAAGAUCAUCACCUUUCGUCCUGUUUGCAGUUAUAAUAGCCAAAUUCUCUUGCCAAUCAUCCAGCAUGCUCUUAGAAUUCACAGCCUAUCCAACAAAAAUGCUAAGUUAGGUUCAACCCUAAUGAUCCACACACGAUAAAAGAUGAGAACUAAAAUGUAUGAAAAUCAUGGAAUGGGAAGUCAAGAACAAUCAAAUGAUAUACAUCACAUGACAUAUAAACACGAAAUGAGUAUAGAACUAUAGGUCAUAAACAACAUAGAAUUAUUAUAGAGUCUAAAUAGAAGC
RNAcentral lists this small RNA (4045 nucleotides) under Oryza sativa Japonica Group (Japanese rice). RNAcentral's name for it is "sRNA Os06g0105550". The record is from RNAcentral. Lineage: Eukaryota; Viridiplantae; Streptophyta; Magnoliopsida; Poales; Poaceae.